ACGAAGGGUGCAAGCGUUACUCGGAAUUACUGGGCGUAAAGCGUGCGUAGGUGGUUCGUUAAGUCUGAUGUGAAAGCCCUGGGCUCAACCUGGGAAUGGCAUUGGAUACUGGCGACCUAGAGUGCGGUAGAGGGUAGCGGAAUUCCCGGUGUAGCAGUGAAAUGCGUAGAUAUCAGGAGGAACACCAGCGGCGAAGGCGGCGCUCUGGGCCGGAACUGACGCUGAGGAGCGAAAGCGUGGGUAGCAAACAGGA
This 253-nucleotide ribosomal RNA is filed under the name uncultured prokaryote. Its description in RNAcentral is "partial 16S ribosomal RNA". It matches the Rfam family "Bacterial small subunit ribosomal RNA", at positions 525 to 777 of the family's 1533-position model. The record is from RNAcentral.